Molecule: non-coding RNA, 70 nt
Organism: Petromyzon marinus (sea lamprey)
Lineage: Eukaryota; Metazoa; Chordata; Hyperoartia; Petromyzontiformes; Petromyzontidae
Source: Rfam
UACCCGGGGGUGCAGUGCUUUACCUCUGGUUGGGUUGAGAGUCUGAGAUGAAGCACUGUAACUCCGGAUG